UACGAAGGGUGCUAGCGUUGUUCGGAUUUACUGGGCGUAAAGCGCACGUAGGCGGAUCGUUAAGUCGGGGGUGAAAUCCUGGAGCUCAACUCCAGAACUGCCUUCGAUACUGGCGAUCUCGAGUCCGGAAGAGGUGAGUGGAACUCCUAGUGUAGAGGUGGAAUUCGUAGAUAUUAGGAAGAACACCAGUGGCGAAGGCGACUCACUGGUCCGGUACUGACGCUGAGGUGCGAAAGCGUGGGGAGCAAACAGG
RNAcentral lists this ribosomal RNA (253 nucleotides) under uncultured bacterium. RNAcentral describes it as "partial 16S ribosomal RNA". It matches the Rfam family "Bacterial small subunit ribosomal RNA", at positions 524 to 776 of the family's 1533-position model. The record is from RNAcentral.